Molecule: ribosomal RNA, 496 nt
Filed under: uncultured bacterium
Lineage: Bacteria
Description: partial 16S ribosomal RNA
Rfam family: Bacterial small subunit ribosomal RNA
Source: RNAcentral
GAUGAACGCUGGCGGCGUGCCUAAUACAUGCAAGUAGAACGCUGAAGGAGGAGCUUGCUCUUUCCGGAUGAGUUGCGAACGGGUGAGUAACGCGUAGGUAACCUGCCUGGUAGCGGGGGAUAACUAUUGGAAACGAUAGCUAAUACCGCAUAACAGUAGAUAUUGCAUGAUAUUUGCUUGAAAGGGGCAAUUGCUCCACUACCAGAUGGACCUGCGUUGUAUUAGCUAGUUGGUGAGGUAACGGCUCACCAAGGCGACGAUACAUAGCCGACCUGAGAGGGUGGUCGGCCACAAUGGGACUGAGACACGGCCCAGACUCCUACGGGAGGCAGCAGUAGGGAAUCUUCGGCAAUGGACGGAAGUCUGACCGAGCAACGCCGCGUGAGUGAAGAAGGUUUUCGGAUCGUAAAGCUCUGUUGUAAGAGAAGAACGAGUGUGAGAGUGGAAAGUUCACACUGUGACGGUAUCUUACCAGAAAGGGACGGCUAACUACGUG